This 402-nucleotide ribosomal RNA is filed under the name Actinomycetes bacterium. RNAcentral's name for it is "Actinobacteria bacterium partial 16S ribosomal RNA". It matches the Rfam family "Bacterial small subunit ribosomal RNA", at positions 355 to 776 of the family's 1533-position model. The record is from RNAcentral. Lineage: Bacteria; Bacillati; Actinomycetota; Actinomycetes.
UGGGGAAUUUUGCACAAUGGGGGCAACCCUGAUGCAGCGACGCCGCGUGAUUUAGAAGGCCCUUGGGUUGUAAAAAUCUUUUGUAUGGGAAGAAAAUGACAGUACCAUACGAAUAAGGACCGGCUAAUUACGUGCCAGCAGCCGCGGUAAUACGUAAGGUCCGAGCGUUGUCCGGAAUCAUUGGGCGUAAAGGGUACGUAGGCGGAUAAGCAAGUUAGAAGUGAAAUCCUAUAGCUCAACUAUAGUAAGCUUUUAAAACUGCUCAUCUUGAGGUAUGGAAGGGAGAGUGGAAUUCCUAGUGUAGCGGUAAGAUGCGCAGAUAUUAGGAGGAAUACCGGUGGCGAAGGCGACUUUCUGGCCAUAAACUAACGCUGAGGUACGAAAGAGUGGGUAGCAGGCAGG